UUUUCGGAAAAUUAUUUUUAAAGAAAAUCAACCUAAAUCCAAAAAAUACUUAAUCUCUAUAAAUACUCUUAUUCAUCUACCCAAUUUUUAUUCUUAUUUGAAAUAAUCGAUCACUGCAUAUCCAAAUUCUCUCUUCCUCAUUUUCUAUUAGCAUAGUUGUUCAUCUAUAUCAAAAAAGUUUAUCAUUUGCAUUUUUGUUAUUUUUGAAUUUGCAUGUGAAUGAUUUGUUAUUCUCUUUGUUUAGUAUAUAUUGGUGUUUCUGAUCACUUUCAUUUGAUAACUCUUUUUGAGGUAAUGUACAGAGCAAACCGAUUUUCUUAAGGUAACAUAGUUUUUAAUCGAUUAAAUAGGAUUUGCAUGUUAAUUUUUCCAAUCACUUUUGAUAUAUUUUUUUGUUUUAAUUCAUAUACCCUUCAUCAACCAAAAAAAUGUGUUUACAAUAAUUUUUUUAAUCUAAUGUCAUUUAUAUUAUUGUUUUUAUUAUUUUACAGGAACAUUAAAAAAUACCAAUUUUAUCAGACUCUUAUAUUUUUGUUUUAAAAACUAACUCUAAAAAAUGAAUAUAUAACUAAUCAGAAUUUAUCAACAAUAUUGGACGGAAGAUCGGUUUGAUGUGUCAAUAAAUCAACACUCAACAAUAAGAAAGAUCCAUUUAAAAUUUCAAACUUUUUUACUAAUUUAGUUCCUGUAUUUUUAUUACCAUAUUAUUUAUAGUUUCAUAUAUGUACAUUUAUAUUCAUGAUGGAUACUAAAAUGCAAAUAUUAUGCAUUUAAUAUACCAAUGUUAUUUUUAAUAAUACACGGGUUAGUUUGUUAACUCACAAUUAUAUAGUAGAAAGGGUAAUGAUUAAUAUUUUUUUAUAUACACUUUUUAUGAGUCGGUCGUCAAAACAUAUAAUAUUAGUGUGUAUAUUUUACAAGUACAAUCAUUUAAAGUUUUCAUAUAUUCAAUAUCUACUUCUAUUAUAAAUUUUAUUGAUAUGUUAGAGAAUAUUC
RNAcentral lists this long non-coding RNA (996 nucleotides) under Capsella grandiflora. RNAcentral describes it as "long non-coding RNA (CGRA_LNC000618)". The record is from RNAcentral. Lineage: Eukaryota; Viridiplantae; Streptophyta; Magnoliopsida; Brassicales; Brassicaceae.